RNAcentral lists this ribosomal RNA (525 nucleotides) under uncultured bacterium. RNAcentral's name for it is "bacterial SSU rRNA". It matches the Rfam family "Bacterial small subunit ribosomal RNA", at positions 355 to 896 of the family's 1533-position model. The record is from RNAcentral.
UGGGGAAUAUUGGGCAAUGGGGGGAAUCCUGACCCAGCGACGCCGCGUGAACGAUGAAGGCCUUAGGGUUGUAAAGUUCUUUUAUGUGGGAAGAAGGAAGUGACGGUACCACAUGAAUAAGCCCCGGCUAACUACGUGCCAGCAGCCGCGGUAAUACGUAGGGGGCGAGCGUUGUCCGGAAUUACUGGGCGUAAAGGGCACGCAGGCUGUGAUUCAAGUCAGCUGUAAAAGGAUGCGGCUUAACCGUGUUUAGCAGUUGAAACUGGAUGACUGGAGUGCUGGAGAGGCAAGUGGAAUUCCCAGUGUAGCGGUGAAAUGCGUAGAUAUUGGGAAGAACAUCGGUGGCGAAGGCGACUUGCUGGCCAGUAACUGACGCUGAGGUGCGAAAGCCAGGGUAGCAAACGGGAUUAGAUACCCCGGUAGUCCUGGCUGUAAACGAUGAAUGCUAGGUGUGCGAGCAGAGAUGUUGGUGUGCCGCAGUUAACGCGAUAAGCAUUCCGCCUGGGGAGUACGGUCGCAAGAUUG